This 62-nucleotide small RNA is filed under the name Klebsiella pneumoniae. RNAcentral describes it as "partial RtT sRNA". It matches the Rfam family "RtT RNA", at positions 71 to 130 of the family's 130-position model. From Rfam's summary of the family: This family represents a bacterial cis-regulatory element known as RtT RNA. The exact function of RtT is unknown although it is thought that it may be involved in changing the cellular response in relation to amino acid starvation. The record is from RNAcentral. Lineage: Bacteria; Pseudomonadati; Pseudomonadota; Gammaproteobacteria; Enterobacterales; Enterobacteriaceae.
CCACAGGCAACGGCCCGAAGGGCGAGGCGCUUUAGCGCCGAGUAAUCCUUCCCCCACCACCA